UAGAAAUUUCAUGAAGACAAAGCCAAAUAAAAAUUGUAGACUUUUCUUAUGACAAGUACGAGCGUACACGAAAUUAAUUCAUCGCAACGCGCGAUCCCGAGAACGUCGUAUUAUCAGUGUAUCAGACAGCCAAUCGGCCGCGCAAUCGAUGGUAACAGCUUUUAAUUGACCCUCCUCGCCGCUUCGCUGCGCGCAGCAAAAUGCAGCACGACAACACGACGAUGAAUACAGUCAACGAGUCAACAACUUCACUGUUGCACAAUUAUCGUUACAGAUCUCAACACUCUAAAUUACUCUA
This is a long non-coding RNA of Trachymyrmex septentrionalis, 298 nucleotides long. RefSeq lists it as uncharacterized. NCBI's taxonomy places the organism in Eukaryota, Metazoa, Arthropoda, Insecta, Hymenoptera, Formicidae. The transcript is spliced from 4 exons. The record is from RefSeq and is a predicted model, not a curated record.